GAAGGUAUAGCUCAAGUGGUAGAGUGUAUGCUUAGCACCCACAAGGUCCUGGGUUCAAUCCCCAGUACCUCCU
Transfer RNA from Camelus ferus (Wild Bactrian camel), 73 nucleotides. It matches the Rfam family "tRNA". From Rfam's summary of the family: Transfer RNA (tRNA) molecules are approximately 80 nucleotides in length. Their secondary structure includes four short double-helical elements and three loops (D, anti-codon, and T loops). NCBI's taxonomy places the organism in Eukaryota, Metazoa, Chordata, Mammalia, Artiodactyla, Camelidae. The record is from Rfam.